AAAAUAUUAAUCAUUGGUAAUUUAGAAGCAGGCAGAUUGAUCUUGAUGAGAGUAUAAGUAAAUUUUCUAGGAACCCAUUUAACAUAUCACAAUUCUGAAAGUUGUAUUAAAAAUAAUUGUUAUGGUAUUUUUCUCCCUAAAAAGAUAUUCUUGUUUCUGGGGCAGGGGUAUUCCAUUCAAAUGCUGAAUUUCUUAAGUCUGAUUUAAUCCAAAUAAUAGUAUUUUUCAAAUUUGCAUGGUACUUUUAAGCUACAAGGAUACUCUGAGCUUCAAUCAACCCCUUCAGUUGUGGACAUUGAAUCUUAGAGCAGGACCCAUGCUUGAGAAGGACUUCCUAGGGAACUGGUUUCCCAGAACUCAUUUCAUUGUGCUGCGUCAUCCAAGCAUUCAGAGGCUGCUGCAGCUAUGGCCUGAGAAACUUCUAGCAUCACCUCCUAGUGGCAAACUGGGAUCCCUACUCUGUUCACUCAGAACCCUGAACAAACUGCUCAACCUUUUUUGCUAGACACUCUUUUUGAGUGAUUCUUCAGAAUCUUAAUUCCAAUAAUCAUGCCCUCAGACUUUGGAAAGAUGUCAACAGAGUAAGAGCAACAGAACUCAACACCGUUGCAAAUGACUGGAGUGGCUAAAGGAUGAGGAAACUGAAAAGGAAGAAACAUUUGUUCUUGCCCUCCAAAGUUGGUCUGCAUCACCUCAAAUGAGUUGCUUUAUCUUUCACAGCCAAAUAG
This 728-nucleotide long non-coding RNA is filed under the name Heterocephalus glaber (naked mole-rat). RNAcentral's name for it is "lncRNA (ENSHGLG00100038448.1)". The record is from RNAcentral. Lineage: Eukaryota; Metazoa; Chordata; Mammalia; Rodentia; Bathyergidae.